AUAAACUCUUUGUCUUUCUAGCUUAUUAAUAGUUGUAAGUUACAGUCUUACAGAUCCCCCAUUCAUUUCCCUCAUCUUCAAAGACACCGCCCAAUCAGCCCAUCUUCUCUUUCAAUUUGAUUCUUCUCCCGUUAAUCACAAUGGAGCUGAAGCCCUCACAGACCUCGCCAUCUCAAACCCUGACCAACACGCCGUCGCAAGAUGCGCCUCUCCUCGUGCGCGGCACUUUCUGCAUCGCCAAUUCCGCCUCCGCUCCGCCCGCCGAGAAGCCCGCGCCGCCGCCGCAGCUGCCUGUUGUGGUGCCGGGAUUACAGGAGCAGUUUGUCGAUUCUAGCUUCAGGUUGAUUUGGAGCGAGGAGAUCGACAGACGCUAUUGGAAUUAUUUUGCUCAGAUGACUGAUGAUUUGUAUUUGUAUCUCGCAAGGUCCAUACCAACGGAAUCUAGGCCACCUGUCAAAGCAAGCUGAUAGAAACGAGAGAAAUAGAAAAGCUGAUCUCUCUCCAUAUAAAUACAAAGGAGGACCUCAAGAGGCUACUAUUGCUUUGGACGGCCUAAUCCCAUCUUACAGUCUCUUUCUCGAUUUGUGAUUUUAUAAUAUUAUAUCUUUGCUCCUUUCUUAUCGAAUUUUCUCAUAUUUCAGAUUUUACAUUUUCUAAUUAGUCUUUUUUAAAAAUUCAGAAAUGCAAAUGGUCAAUGUGUGCCUCUUUAUUGUUCCCUCUUUAAUAAUGAGUUCUUUCUUACUCUUCGCAUACCAACUCUGAAUUAAUGAAUUGGUAAUAGGCUCAUCUUCAUUUUUUGCAUGAAUAUCACAUUCUAUAUAAGCUACGGAACAGAGUGUUAUAAACAUAUUAAUAUUUCUCGUAAUGGGAGUUGCUUUGCAGGCUGCAAUUGCUAUAUUUCUUUCACAAGGGUUUUUGCAGCUCCUGAUGUUCUUCAUUCCAAGGUUUGUAACUUUAUUUUUAGCAAUAGGUAAUUACAAAAUGUGAUUUUGUGUUGUUUUGAUUUGAGGGUUGGGUUCAUUUUUCAAGUUGAGGGUUCUGAGGCACCCGAUACUAACUCACUCGGUCUCAAUUCCGAUAAGAUAAUUUUGUAGAUUUGCUUUGUGGGUUUUGUAAAUUAGGGCAAAAAGGUGUUAAUGGUUGGUGCUGGUGGUGUUGGAUGUGAGCUUCUCAAGACUCUUGCUCUCUGGCUUUCAAGAUAUUCACAUUGUAAAUUUCUCUUACUUUUAUCGUGCUUAUGUAUUGUCGUUUCGUUCUACUUCUUUUUAGCCUUUUGCUGCUGGUCGUUGGUGCUGGUGGUUUCAGCAGUCUCGGUUUCUGAGGUUUCAGUUUCUUUUUUCUUGGUUGCCUAUUUUUUUUUGGUAAAUAUGUGUUUACUUAGGGUUGUUAUGGUCUUUAGUAUUGUCACUAACGUAAAUUGGAUUUUAUGUGGUAAUCGACAUUUGAUGGAGAUUAUAGCAUCCUUACCACUCUUGAGGCCAUGUAUAUAAAUUACUACCAAUAAUUUGUAGUAUUUUUUUUCUCAAUAUUAUUAAGGGGAAAGAAUUUAAGAUCACGGGGCUUGAAGUGUACUGAAUUUUUUAGGAUCUUAAUGUUAUAUGAAGAUCCGAACAAAAGCCAAAAGAAUUACAGAUGCUAGUGAUGAAUGUAAAUAAAGCUCUGCUCCUUUUCUCUUAAAGUACAGACUCCAUAAAAUGGUAAAUGUAAUCCACACUCUGUGUGCUUGGCCUCCUGUAUUACCUUAGUGCCAAAGUCAAAUAAUAGGAAGUGUAGCAAAAUUGUAGAAGCAGAUUCACUUCAUUGUCCGAAAUUCCGGUUAAGUAAUUAGGUAUAAAGGUACCACAUCAUGCAUUACAGGAGGCAUAUCUGUAUAUAUAUAAAGGAGGCUCUCGGGAGGGUGAGGUGGCAUCUAUCAGGGCUCUUCAUCUAAUUUAGAGAGAGAGAGAGAGGGAAUGCCAUACGCAUUAGAAUGCAGAGUCCUGAAAAGGUGUUUGAGUACUGUGCAUCAUACAGAUCCCGUGGUGGACAAGUGUUUAUGACAUUAGCUGACCUGAUGUGGGCAGCUGUUCCAGUAUUUCCUCCUAAUCAAGAUACUCUCGUGUAAGAGUGGGAAGUUUGAAAGGGGAGUGGCCUCAUGUUAUCAAAUUUUGCAUUGGAGAAACAACUAC
This is a long non-coding RNA of Daucus carota subsp. sativus, 2168 nucleotides long. RefSeq lists it as uncharacterized. The transcript has 3 exons. NCBI's taxonomy places the organism in Eukaryota, Viridiplantae, Streptophyta, Magnoliopsida, Apiales, Apiaceae. The record is from RefSeq and is a predicted model, not a curated record.